This 72-nucleotide transfer RNA is filed under the name Wenzhouxiangella marina. It matches the Rfam family "tRNA". From Rfam's summary of the family: Transfer RNA (tRNA) molecules are approximately 80 nucleotides in length. Their secondary structure includes four short double-helical elements and three loops (D, anti-codon, and T loops). Lineage: Bacteria; Pseudomonadati; Pseudomonadota; Gammaproteobacteria; Chromatiales; Wenzhouxiangellaceae. The record is from Rfam by way of RNAcentral.
GGGCCGUUAGCUCAGCGGUAGAGCAGGAGGCUUUUAACCUCUUGGUCGAAGGUUCGAAUCCUUCACGGCCCA